This 206-nucleotide long non-coding RNA is filed under the name Elaeis guineensis (African oil palm). RNAcentral describes it as "long non-coding RNA (EGUI_LNC064306)". Lineage: Eukaryota; Viridiplantae; Streptophyta; Magnoliopsida; Arecales; Arecaceae. The record is from RNAcentral.
UGUAUUGAAUGGUGGAUUUGACUUAACUAAGGAUUGAGUCAAUAUUACGGACACGUUGAGGCUUCAUGACUUAGAGACCAAUCGCUGCAUUAUACUUGAGAAGCAUUGGACAAUAGUUAUCCACUCAUCGGAAUAGCAUGGCCUAAUAUUUUGGGCACGAUGAGGUGUGCGCAUAUCGAUGGAACUGCAGUAUCCACUAGAAACCC